UGUUCCCACCGCGGCCUCCUCGCCCCGCCAGGUGUGACAAAGGGCCAUUCGGAGCCGCCCUGCACGCCAUCACCUCUUCACGCUCCAGACUCCUUGCAAACCCACCAGUCCAAGCCCCUCCUGGACCCACCAGCUUCUCUCUGGUUCGUUUUUGUCUUAAUUCAGGGACCUAACUUCUUUGAUGAGGCAUGAAAAAUCCCUGGCAGUCUCUUGUUAUCAGAAGGAAUUCUUUAUCGUCCUUCACCCCAGACCUGAGGCCCAGUGGCCAGCCGCAGAGAUGAGGCCCGUGGGGUUACCUGAGGUGAGGGCCAGGCCCUGGGCCUUUUCCUGACACCUGGUUUCAAAUACCCCCUCCCCGCCGGCAUCUCCUGUCACGUUAGGUGCCUCCCCAGACGACACAGUGCUGGCGAGGGCACGUCCACAGUGUGAUGGGAGUGGCGGGGCCACAGGCAGCCUCGUCCCCCAGACCACGAAGACGGCAACAGACUGUGAUGGGACUUCCUGCAGUCCUGUGAGGCAUGUGUUUGUCUUUCCUCUCCAAACUACACUGUGGAAAUUUUAUUGUUCUCCGAUCGUCCGUGUCUGGGUUGGUUGCACCUACUUAGAUAUCCUGAAAUCGCUCCUAUAAGCAUAUCUAAAAUGGAAAGUUCUUAUUUGCACUGCGAGAACUGGUAAUUCAUUUUUAUUCUAGUAAGACUUUCCAAACUAAAGACACUUUUUUCUUCCCUAUAUAAGUGGUUGCUGUGAUCGUUUUCAUGCCAGCGAUUUGUAUAACAAGAGCCAAUGUUUAAACACUGGGUCUGGGCAGUUGUCUGCAGGCAGGGAUUAAGAAUGUGUGACAAGGGCCCUGAAGAUGUCUCUGCUCUCCUUCUGGGAUGUGAGCGGACGGGCUGGGGUGGAGACCAGUCGUGACAUUUUCCAGGAGGUGCUGCUCGUGGGCGCGGACCGGUGUGUAAGUCCUCCGUGACUGUGGGUUUUAGGGCUGGGUCUUCGUGUGCUGAUCGGUUUAUUUUAAAAAGCGACACUCGAUCAACACAAGGUGGCUGGAGUGGAGGUGCCUCCCAAGGUCGAUUAAAAGAAACCAGCUAUUUAAGGAGGGGAAACAGACAUGUCUCAGGGCUGAUUGUGCAUUCAGAGGCGGGGCUCCCUCGGGGUGUCUCUGGGGCCCCCGCCUUCAACUGGGCUUCUGACGUUCAUCCCAACAAUGGAAACAGUGCCUUUCCAUGAUUAAAAUCUCCCGCCCUCUAACAUUAGUGCCAGGAAAGUAGAACAGCCGUCACCGUGGGGGCCCCACAUCCCAGGACUUACCGCGGAGUCACGGAGGCCCCAGGGCCACAGCGCCAAAGCUAUUUCCUCACUGGUUCUUAGC
RNAcentral lists this long non-coding RNA (1369 nucleotides) under Sus scrofa (pig). Its description in RNAcentral is "lncRNA (ENSSSCG00040012510.1)". The record is from RNAcentral. Lineage: Eukaryota; Metazoa; Chordata; Mammalia; Artiodactyla; Suidae.